Manacus vitellinus (golden-collared manakin) is the source of this 332-nucleotide long non-coding RNA. RefSeq lists it as uncharacterized. The record is from RefSeq and is a predicted model, not a curated record. Lineage: Eukaryota; Metazoa; Chordata; Aves; Passeriformes; Pipridae. The transcript is spliced from 3 exons.
GGAAAAUAAGAUGGAUCUAAAAUAGUGUGCGAAGACCUUGCUUGAAUACAGCAGAUGGAGCUGCCUGCCCUGAUGUGGAGCAAACCACAACUUUCUGAAGGCAGAUGGCCCCUGCACACUUUUUGCCUUUUAAAUAGAAGUGACAUAGCCCACAUCCUGCACACUUCCAAGAUAAGGUAAGCAAGAGUGUAUUCUUAAACAGAGAAAAGAAGAACUGAAAGGCAGAAUGAAGGAUGAAAAAUUCAAGGAGACUAUGACCUCUUUGGGGUAAACUAAUUUUAAGGAGAGAUUUACGAGAUGAAACAUGCUUAAGUUUUCAUCUGGAAUAUUAU